CGAAGGGGGCUAGCGUUGUUCGGAAUUACUGGGCGUAAAGCGCAUGUAGGCGGCUUUCUAAGUCGGGGGUGAAAUCCUGAGGCUCAACCUCAGAACUGCCUUCGAUACUGGAGAGCUCGAGUAUGGAAGAGGUAGGUGGAACUGCGAGUGUAGAGGUGAAAUUCGUAGAUAUUCGCAAGAACACCAGUGGCGAAGGCGGCCUACUGGUCCAUCACUGACGCUGAGAUGCGAAAGCGUGGGGAGCAAACAGGAUUAGAUACCCUGGUAGUCCACGCCAUAAACGAUGAGAGCUAGCUGUUGGAGGGUUUACUCUUCAGUAGCGCAGACAACUCGAUAAGCUCUCCGCCUGGGGAGUACGGUCGCAAGAUUA
This 370-nucleotide ribosomal RNA is filed under the name uncultured organism. RNAcentral's name for it is "bacterial SSU rRNA". It matches the Rfam family "Bacterial small subunit ribosomal RNA", at positions 526 to 896 of the family's 1533-position model. The record is from RNAcentral.